UUACCCACUGUCUAAUUUUCAACUUUUUCUUACUUGUUGUUUCUGUCAAUAUGUUCGUAACCCAUUUUUUAUUUUUUGUUUUAGAUAAACAGCAUCCUGUUUCAUUGGAGAUACCACCAAUGGUCCAAUGUCGGUCGAGUUACGAAUCUCUUGUUCCCCUUUCUUUAAAUACCCUCUGUGUCCUCGUGUACACCCGUGUGUGUGUGGGUGUAUUCAUGAGGACGUCCUUUUUCCCAUCCCCCCUGGUGGAUUCAACUUUUCUGUGGAUGGAGCAGCACUUUGUGGAUGCCUGGCCGUAUUUCACAGGCAUAAAGGUGAUUUGCCCGCGGUAUGGCCUAACGGAACCAGAAUAGGACGCAGACUUGUCACGUUCACACCUAUUUAAUAUGUACAGCAGCUGCAGCUUGAAAGGAGGUGAUGCUGUGUGUGUGUGUUACUCUCUUGUCGGUUACCGACUUUGGCGACCCACUGUGCGAUUACGAGGUAAAGUCUGUCCCGAAGGUGCUAUCAUUUCGUGCACGUCGUAAAAUUUAUUACGUACUAGUUAGUCCUAAUAUGGAUGAAUGAAUUUUUUCUCCUCCCUAAAAUAAAGCAGUCGGGAAAAUCCCUCUGUCUGCUUUCCAGGAAAUUCGUUCAACACCUCAUCAGGAGGUUGUUAAUUAUUUAGAUCCUGGAUCAAACAACCGUCAUCUUUGUAGUCCAUACAAUCAAAUUCUAGUAGUACCAUGCAACUUAAUAUUUAGAAUAGUUUUUACCGUGUGGGUGGCCUUCGUAUAUGAUUCAUGAUCAAGUCCGAGAUGUGGCAAAUGUUGAUUAAGAACAAGAAAGAAAGUGCACUAAACACAGUCCAUCCCGAUGCAAACCUGUAGUGGUGACCAUAUGACCGCUAUCUGGAAACCUAAUGCUCUUGUUGGAUAUGUCGGCAUCUCGGGGAGACCCGCAAUCAUCCGCCAAAACAAAAACUUCAAAGCCCCAUGAAGAUGGUAACUCGGUACUUCUGCUGCAGGUCAUAUCAGGCCUCACUUUCUAAUGUUUUUCUUUUGUUUUUUUUCCGGACGGAGGGAGGGGGAGUUUCAAAUCUGUUCAGUCGUUAACCUUAUCACUUAUAUAGAUGGUCCAGUUCUUUAAGUCGUUGAGCCAAAGAAGACCUCUGAGGACAAACACGGCAGCACUGGAACCCACCAGCAAAUAUUUCUCCGCUGGAAAGAUUCAUCCCACGCUGAAGCCCAGAGGUUUGCGCGCGCUUACCAUCCAGCGGCCUUAUGGGACUGUCUACACCUUUUUGGAGGAGUCAACGAUGGGAGGGAGCUGUUGAACUAUAAAAGGGGAUCUCGUCGGAGUCAACGUGACAGACACCUUCUACCUGUGAUUGGUUGUACCACUCAAAUAGGGUGAACUAUUUCAAUUUCGUGUAAGUUAUUACAUUGAGCUUCGUCCCUUCCGUUUGACAUCAACCAACUUCCUCCGCACCGCAAUUGUUCAGGAUCACUACACUUCAAGCACUUCAACUUCAAAUCAACUCCGAUCCGUG
Molecule: long non-coding RNA, 1531 nt
Filed under: Daphnia pulex (common water flea)
Lineage: Eukaryota; Metazoa; Arthropoda; Branchiopoda; Diplostraca; Daphniidae
Description: uncharacterized LOC124193085, transcript variant X9
Source: RNAcentral